Molecule: long non-coding RNA, 274 nt
Filed under: Elaeis guineensis (African oil palm)
Lineage: Eukaryota; Viridiplantae; Streptophyta; Magnoliopsida; Arecales; Arecaceae
Description: long non-coding RNA (EGUI_LNC057215)
Source: RNAcentral
CGUACAGACUUCAUAAGUACUUGACUAUACCCAAUAGCCUUCCAUCAUUAUAUUAGAAAUGCAUGUAGUCUAACAUCAAAGUACAGUGAGUUACUUGCAAGUCACUAUGGUUAUCUCAGGUCUAAGAGACACUUAUGCCCAUAUGCUUUAUGAGCCGCUCUUGAUAGUAGAGCACUCUGCAGGUGAGUCACUUAUUCGGUGAUGAUAUACUCCUAUAUCUCAUCUGUAUGCCAUACCAGUGUCUUCAUAUUCCUUGGUUAAGAGGACAACCAAC